AUUGCUUCUUGGCCUUCUGGUUAAGAGGGGCGAAAGCAUUAUGUAAGUUGUAUCUGUUCUUAUCGGUUUAAUAUCUGAUAUGUUCUUAAUUUAAGGACUGUCUACUCCAUUGGUUUUUGAAACAGGGGGUUUUCUUUUCCCCCCCUUUUUUUUUUUUAAAAAGUGGGGGAGGGAUAGCUC
Molecule: small nuclear RNA, 180 nt
Filed under: Gopherus evgoodei (Goodes thornscrub tortoise)
Lineage: Eukaryota; Metazoa; Chordata; Testudines; Testudinidae
Description: U2 spliceosomal RNA (ENSGEVG00005005731.1)
Rfam family: U2 spliceosomal RNA
About the family: U2 is a small nuclear RNA (snRNA) component of the spliceosome (involved in pre-mRNA splicing). Complementary binding between U2 snRNA (in an area lying towards the 5' end but 3' to hairpin I) and the branchpoint sequence (BPS) of the intron results the bulging out of an unpaired adenosine, on the BPS, which initiates a nucleophilic attack at the intronic 5' splice site, thus starting the first of two transesterification reactions that mediate splicing.
Source: Rfam by way of RNAcentral